AUUGAACGCUGGCGGAUUGCUUUACACAUGCAAGUCGAACGGCAGCACGGACUUCGGGCUGGUGCCGAGUGGCGAAAGGGUGUGUAACAUAACGGAACGUAUCCAAUAUUGGGGGAUAAGAUGUAGAAAACUUCGCUAAUACCCCAUACGCACUGCGGGGGACAGCUGGGGACUUUAGGGCCUGGGGUUAAUGGACUGGCCCGUGUCUGAUUAGCUUGUUGGUGAGGUAAAGGCUAACCAAGGCGACGAUCAGUAGCUGGUAGGAGAGGAUGAUCCGCCACACUGGGACUGAGACACGGCCCAGACUCCUACGGGAGGCAGCAGUGGGGAAUUUUGGACAAUGGGGGCAACCCUGAUCCAGCCAUGCCGCGUGAGUGAAGAAGGCCUUCGGGUUGUAGAGCUCUUUCGGCCGGGAAGAAAUCGCACAGGCUAAUACCUUGUGUGGAUGACGGUACCGGAAUAAGAAGCACCGGCUAACUACGUGCCAGCAGCCGCCGCCG
This 500-nucleotide ribosomal RNA is filed under the name uncultured bacterium. Its description in RNAcentral is "partial 16S ribosomal RNA". It matches the Rfam family "Bacterial small subunit ribosomal RNA", at positions 30 to 523 of the family's 1533-position model. The record is from RNAcentral.